This 338-nucleotide long non-coding RNA is filed under the name Equus asinus (donkey). Its description in RNAcentral is "lncRNA (ENSEASG00005033953.1)". The record is from RNAcentral. Lineage: Eukaryota; Metazoa; Chordata; Mammalia; Perissodactyla; Equidae.
AAAGAAAUAAAAGACAUCUGGAGGGGCAAUAUUAAAGCCAAGGAUGAGACUGGAGAUGAAACUCAGCCCUUUGAGUCUGCUUCUCUGAUUCAAGGAGAAGGACCCACCAGUAGGCACGGCCUGGAGACUACUUGUUUCUUCACAGCAGGCCCAUUGCUCAUGGUCAGUGCUGUAAAGGCCACCUCUCCAGAUCUUCACCACAUCUGCAAUAUUGCCGCUGCCUCCUUCUCUCUCACACCUCCUUCCAGGUCUCUGAUGAAAUGUCUAUACCCAGAAAUGGAAUUGCUGGAUCACAUGACUAAUAAACCCGUGGAAGAAGGACAUGAGGGCAAGGCUGA